Molecule: ribosomal RNA, 431 nt
Filed under: uncultured bacterium
Lineage: Bacteria
Description: bacterial SSU rRNA
Rfam family: Bacterial small subunit ribosomal RNA
Source: RNAcentral
AACGAACGCUGGCGGCAGGCCUAACACAUGCAAGUCGAGCGCCCCGCAAGGGGAGCGGCGGACGGGUGAGUAACGCGUGGGAACGUACCCUUUGCUACGGAAUAGCCUCGGGAAACUGGGAGUAAUACCGUAUGUGCCCUUCGGGGAAAGAUUUAUCGGCAAAGGAUCGGCCCGCGUUGGAUUAGGUAGUUGGUGGGGUAAUGGCCUACCAAGCCGACGAUCCAUAGCUGGUUUGAGAGGAUGAUCAGCCACACUGGGACUGAGACACGGCCCAGACUCCUACGGGAGGCAGCAGUGGGGAAUCUUAGACAAUGGGCGCAAGCCUGAUCUAGCCAUGCCGCGUGAGCGAUGAAGGCCUUAGGGUUGUAAAGCUCUUUCAGUGGGGAAGAUAAUGACUGUACCCACAGAAGAAGACCCCGGCUAACUCCGUG